UCUAGUGGCUUUCNCAAGCAGUGCUCAGCAGC
This 32-nucleotide non-coding RNA is filed under the name Rattus norvegicus (Norway rat). Lineage: Eukaryota; Metazoa; Chordata; Mammalia; Rodentia; Muridae. The record is from RNAcentral.